This 497-nucleotide ribosomal RNA is filed under the name uncultured bacterium. Its description in RNAcentral is "partial 16S ribosomal RNA". It matches the Rfam family "Bacterial small subunit ribosomal RNA", at positions 28 to 507 of the family's 1533-position model. The record is from RNAcentral.
GGCGAACGCUGGCGGCGUGCCUAAUACAUGCAAGUCGAGCGCUGAGGGCAGGUACUUGUACCAACUGGAUGAGCAGCGAACGGGUGAGUAACGCGUGGGGAACCUGCCUUUGAGCGGGGGACAACAUCUGGAAACGAAUGCUAAUACCGCAUAAAAACGUUAAACACAAGGUCUUAGGUUGAAAGAUGCAAUUGCAUCCCACAAAGAUGAUCCCGCGUUGUAUUAGCUAGUUGGUGAGGUAAAGGCUCACCAAGGCGAGGAUACAUAGCCGACCUGAGAGGGUGAGCGGCCACAUUGGGACUGAGACACGGCCCAAACUCCUACGGGAGGCAGCAGUAGGGAAUCUUCGGCAAUGGACGAAAGUCUGACCGAGCGACGCCGCGUGAGUGAAGAAGGUCUUCGGAUCGUAAAACUCUGUUGGUAGAGAAGAACGUGGGUGAGAGUGGAAAGCUCAUCAAGUGACGGUAACUACCCAGAAAGGGACGGCUAACUACGUG